RNAcentral lists this ribosomal RNA (406 nucleotides) under uncultured bacterium. RNAcentral's name for it is "partial 16S ribosomal RNA". It matches the Rfam family "Bacterial small subunit ribosomal RNA", at positions 30 to 526 of the family's 1533-position model. The record is from RNAcentral.
AUUGAACGCUGGCGGCAGGCCUGACACAUGCAAGUCGAGCGAGUGUCGGACGCGUGAGUAGUGUCUGGGCUACUGCCCGCUGGCGGGGGAUCACUACCGGAAACGCUAGCUAAUAACGCACACCAUCUGAUGUACCCAGAUGGUAUUAGCUAGUAGGUGGGGUAACGGCUCACCUGGGCGAAGAUCCCUAGCUGGUCUGUGAGGAUGACCAGACACACUGGAACUGAGACACGGUCCAGACUCGUAAGUGAGGCAGCAGUGGGGAAUAUUGCACAAUGGUCGCAAGCCUGAUGCAGCCAUGCCGGGUGUAUGAAGAAUGCCUGCGGGUUGUAAAGUACUUUCAGCGAGGAUGCUUUACCGGCAGAAGAAGCACCGGCAAACUCCGUGACAGCAGCCGCGGUAAUAC